Molecule: small nuclear RNA, 125 nt
Organism: Rattus rattus (black rat)
Lineage: Eukaryota; Metazoa; Chordata; Mammalia; Rodentia; Muridae
Source: RefSeq, a predicted model, not a curated record
AAAAGAAAAGAAAACAGAGAAGUUUAGUACUCCCCUUGACAAGGAUAGAAGAGGCCCUUGGGCCUAACAACACCCACAUGCUUACGGCAGCGCCUUAAGAGGCAGAGGCAGAGGCAGAGUCAAGA